GACGAACGCUGGCGGCGUGCUUAACACAUGCAAGUCGAACGGAAAGGCCCUUCGGGGUACCCGAGUGGCGAACGGGUGAGUAACACGUGGGUGAUCUGCCCUGCACUUUGGGAUAAGCCUGGGAAACUGGGUCUAAUACCGAAUAGGACCACGGCAUUCAUGUGCUGUGGUGGAAAGCUUUUGCGGUGUGGGAUGGGCCCGCGGCCUAUCAGCUUGUUGGUGGGGUAAUGGCCUACCAAGGCGACGACGGGUAGCCGGCCUGAGAGGGUGACCGGCCACACUGGGACUGAGAUACGGCCCAGACUCCUCCGGGAGGCAGCAGUGGGGAAUAUUGCACAAUGGGCGCAAGCCUGAUGCAGCGACGCCGCGUGAGGGAUGACGGCCUUCGGGUUGUAAACCUCUUUCGCCAGGGACGAAGCGCAAGUGACGGUACCUGGAGAAGAAGGACCGGCCAACUACGUGCCAGCCGCCGCCAUAA
This 478-nucleotide ribosomal RNA is filed under the name uncultured bacterium. RNAcentral's name for it is "partial 16S ribosomal RNA". It matches the Rfam family "Bacterial small subunit ribosomal RNA", at positions 28 to 523 of the family's 1533-position model. The record is from RNAcentral.